GAUGGGAGCUUGCUCCCUGAGAUUAGCGGCGGACGGGUGAGUAACACGUGGGCAACCUGCCUAUAAGACUGGGAUAACUUCGGGAAACCGGAGCUAAUACCGGAUACGUUCUUUUCUCGCAUGAGAGAAGAUGGAAAGACGGUUUACGCUGUCACUUAUAGAUGGGCCCGCGGCGCAUUAGCUAGUUGGUGAGGUAAUGGCUCACCAAGGCGACGAUGCGUAGCCGACCUGAGAGGGUGAUCGGCCACACUGGGACUGAGACACGGCCCAGACUCCUACGGGAGGCAGCAGUAGGGAAUCUUCCGCAAUGGACGAAAGUCUGACGGAGCAACGCCGCGUGAACGAAGAAGGCCUUCGGGUCGUAAAGUUCUGUUGUUAGGGAAGAACAAGUACCAGAGUAACUGCUGGUACCUUGACGGUACCUAACCAGAAAGCCACGGCUAACUACGUGCCAGCAGCCGCGGUAAUACGUAGGUGGCAAGCGUUGUCCGGAAUUAUUGGGCGUAAAGCGCGCGCAGGUGGUUCCUUAAGUCUGAUGUGAAAGCCCACGGCUCAACCGUGGAGGGUCAUUGGAAACUGGGGAACUUGAGUGCAGAAGAGGAAAGUGGAAUUCCAUGUGUAGCGGUGAAAUGCGUAGAGAUCUGGAGGAACACCAGUGGCGAAGGCGACUUUCUGGUCUGUAACUGACACUGAAGCGCGAAAGC
RNAcentral lists this ribosomal RNA (704 nucleotides) under Bacillus thuringiensis. RNAcentral describes it as "bacterial SSU rRNA". It matches the Rfam family "Bacterial small subunit ribosomal RNA", at positions 71 to 760 of the family's 1533-position model. Lineage: Bacteria; Bacillati; Bacillota; Bacilli; Caryophanales; Bacillaceae. The record is from RNAcentral.